Molecule: long non-coding RNA, 344 nt
Filed under: Gallus gallus (chicken)
Lineage: Eukaryota; Metazoa; Chordata; Aves; Galliformes; Phasianidae
Source: RNAcentral
GGGCAACCUGCUGCUGACAAGUCUUCGUAUGUACAGUGAAAACAGUAAAACAAUGCAAGUUUGUAGUCAGUACGGCUUCUCUACUGAUUCCAAGAUUUUCUUUCUCUCCUCUGCUGAGGGCAUCUCCGGUUUCACACCAUUUCUUUUCCUUUGCAUCAUAAUGUCAUGCUCCGUCCCCGGCCGCGUCCGCGGGAGCCCGAGGCGGGAGGGGGACAGCCCCGUCUCCAAUUCGAAAGACGUCAGCGGCUCGGGCAGAGCGCUUAAGUACGGGCGCAGCCUACCCCGCUCCCGGCCUCGCGGCUCCCCCGGCCCAGCGCCGCCGCCGCCCACGCCCCGGCGGCGCU